RNAcentral lists this ribosomal RNA (250 nucleotides) under uncultured bacterium. RNAcentral describes it as "partial 16S ribosomal RNA". It matches the Rfam family "Bacterial small subunit ribosomal RNA", at positions 1252 to 1500 of the family's 1533-position model. The record is from RNAcentral.
AGGCUGUGAAGCGGAGCAAAUACUCAAAAACCGGUACCCAGUUCGGAUUGUAGGCUGCAACUCGCCUACAUGAAGUCGGAGUUGCUAGUAAUCGCGGAUCAGAAUGCCGCGGUGAAUGCGUUCCCGGGUCUUGUACACACCGCCCGUCACACCAUGAGAGUUGGGAAUACCCGAAGCCUGUGAGCUAACUGUAAGGAGGCAGCAGUCGAAGGUAGAAUCAAUGAUUGGGGUGAAGUCGUAACAAGGUAUC